UUUAUGUAAAUAUAUAUAUUUAAUACAUCUACUUUAUCCAUUCAUCGAUCAGUGUUCAUUUAGGUUGUUUCUAUAUCUUGGCUAUUGUAAAUAAUGCUGAUAUGAACAUGGAAGUGCCCAUACAACUUCAAGAUUUUAUUUUCAUAUCCUUUGGAUGUGUACCCAGAAGUGGGAUUGCUGGAUCAUAUGAUAAAAGCAUGGAUAUAAAGAAGAAUUUCAUUUGUUCCACAUGGAAGAUACAAAAUAUAUUUGAGUGAUUGGAUGGAUGGAUCUUUGUGGAUAAUCAUUAAUCAAAUUUACAUAACCAUUUUCAUGAAUAAGGGAAAAUUUGCUAUUCUAAGUUGACAAAAAAAGGGGGCUACAGAGGGUUUCACUGAGAAGAUAAGUUGUAAUGCAAGGAUGUAUUAACUUGGAAGUGGAAAAGUGGAAGGAGAAAAGCGAUGGCAAGGCGAUGGUUGGAAAUGGGCGAGUGCCAUGAUCUGUUGAGGAAAUGGCAAAGAAAAAAGCUCCAGCGGCCAGAGUAACACGUAAGUGUUACUUGUUGGUGGAAGGAAGGCUUGGUGGAAGGAAGGAUUGAUGGAGAGACAAGGGAUCUCAUGGGAUCCAGUAUUCUAGAGAAACAUCCUGAGAAAGUUGCCUAACAGAUAAUUCAGUGUGGAGGAAGCUAGCAUCCAGGCUAGAAGCCCAUGUGGUGAGGAACUGAGACCUCACUCACCAACAGCCAUAUGAGUGAGCAAUCUGGAAGUGGUACCUUCAGCCCCAGUUGGGCCAUCAGAUGAAACUGCAGUGUCUGCCAGUACCCUAACUACAACCUUAUGAGAGUCUCUGAGCCAGCGCCACCCAGAUAAGUCUCCUCAGGCCAAGGAAACAAAAGCAAAAAUAAACUACUG
Molecule: long non-coding RNA, 890 nt
Organism: Herpailurus yagouaroundi (jaguarundi)
Lineage: Eukaryota; Metazoa; Chordata; Mammalia; Carnivora; Felidae
Exons: 6
Source: RefSeq, a predicted model, not a curated record